GAAGUACAUGGCCGAGAGAAAUCUGAAAGAGAUGCUGCAGUGGACACAGAGGCCCUGGUCCCCAGACACCCUCUCCCUCCCCAGCUCAGCCCUGCUGACAAGAGUGAAUGAUCCCUCUCCCAGCAGGACUAGGCUCCAGCCCCUCCACUAGAUUCUGGAGGCUCUCUUCUCUGAAGCUGGACCCUGGUUCCUCUGGUGGGCCCACUUUUCCACGCCGCAGCCAUGCUCUAUUCUUUGUUUCUGGGCCUUUACCUGUGUGGGGCCCCUCCCACUGGCUGGACUGCCCUUUCCCCUGGGGGCCUGUCUGGAUCCCACCCUUCCCUGGGAAGAUUUCUCUGAAUCCCCCAGCCAUCAUUCCUAUAAUCUACCCAGAACCAUUUCCUGACCUGGGAUCACACUGGCAGGGGACAAUGAGAGGACCCAUGACUAGGGUUAGAGGUGGGCAAGGGGGAUCUGAGGAAGCUUGGGAGCUGGUGUCCUAACAAGCUAAGGUGACACUGAGCACACUGUUAUGGGUGUCCCAGGGCGAAGUAAGAUGAUUGGGAGACUGUACACCACAGUGAUGACUUGCAAGGCUUUGGAGGGAUUGGCUGUCCAGCCACUUCCCUGCUCUUUGCUUCCAUUUCCUCAUCUGAAAAAUGGGGAUACUAAUACCCAACAUUUGGGUCCAAAAGAUAAGGCACGUGAGAAGCUUGGUCAGGGCACACUUUUUCUUUAUUGUGCUCUGAAUGUCGCUUCACCAGAGGCCACUCCUGGGAGACUUGCCCUUUUUUCUUUUUCUCAGCUCUGUUGCAUUCCUUCCCAAGGUGGUUGUUGCUUUUUUUUUUUUUUGAAGAUUUUAUUUUGUAAUCUUUACACCCAACAUAGGGCUCGAACUCACAACCCUGAGAUCCAGAGUCACAUGCUCUACUGACUGAGCCAGCGUGCCCCCCUUCCCAAAUUUUAAUUAUUUAUUUAUUAGAGUGUUUACUUGUUUAAUUUGCCAUUAUUCCAUAGCUCAAUGAGGACAAAGACCUAUUUUUGUUUGCCUGUUUCCUCAACAAUUCAUGAGGCACCUGGCCCAUAAAAGGCACUCAACACACAUUAACUAAAUGGACAAAGUGAUUAUUAGCUCUUUGGACAGGUGUCUUAUCCUUAAAUAAUUUUAAUUUCCAGAGUAAUGCUAAUUUUUUCGAACAUUUUAUUGAAGUGUUUCAGGGAGGUGGUUUCAUUCUUUCAGAUGGUUUCAUCCUUUUCAUGGAGACGAGGAAUAAUUAUACCAGCUUGGUUCCCUGGAGGAGCUCACGGAAUGGCACAGGGACAUAGCAGGCUCUGGCCUUGCCUUUGAACCCUUCACCAUGCCUGGAAAAAGAUUUUGUUGGGACACCUGACUGGCUCAGUCAAAGAAGCAUGCGACUCUUGAUCUUGGGGUCACGAGUUCGAGCCCCACAUUGGGUGUAGAGAUUACUUAAAUAAAUAAAACUUAAAAAAAAGGUUUGGCUACCGGAGUUUACCAGGAUUUUAAUGACCAAAGAAUUCUGAAAACGAAAAAGCACCAUACAAAGUUGAGGUAUUAUGAUCAUUAUUACCUUAAUAGGAGAGCCCUGCACCCUGGAUGUAUCCGAAAAGCAAUCUAUCCUACCCGAUCUAAUCACCCAGUUAUAUUUUAGUUAACACCCUGUUAAAACUAUGUCCCAACACAAAGACUCAAAAGAAGCGGUAUCUACAAAAGUUGAAGAAUGGCAGGAGGCAGGGCGCCUGGGUGGCUCAGGUCAUGAUCCCAGGGUCCUGGGAUCGAGCCCCCACAUCAUGCUCCCUGCUCAGCAGGAAGCCUGCUUCUCCCUCUCCCACUCCCCCGAUUGUGUUCCCUCUCUCGCUGUGUUUCUGUCAAAUAAAUAAAUCUUAAAAAAAAAAAAAAAAAAAAAAGUGGCAGGAGAGGACCUGUCUCCAGAGCUUUCUCAACUGUAGAAAUAAAGAGACAGUAGCCUGAUUCCCCUCUUCUGCUCUAUCUGCCAAGUAUUAUGGUUUCACAUAAAAUGGCUUCUGAGCUAAAAUCUCGUAAUUUAAAAAAGUAUUCAACUUUUAUCCAUAAGUUGAAAGUGCAGGCUUAAAAAUGUACAAGCACUGUAAGGAUAAAACUGUCAUUUUUUUUUUUAAAGAUUUUAUUUAUUUAUUUGACA
Mirounga angustirostris (Northern elephant seal) is the source of this 2159-nucleotide long non-coding RNA. RefSeq lists it as uncharacterized. Lineage: Eukaryota; Metazoa; Chordata; Mammalia; Carnivora; Phocidae. The transcript has 3 exons. The record is from RefSeq and is a predicted model, not a curated record.